UGGUGAGAUGAUUCGUAGCAAGCAACAAGUAACAAAAGUAGAAAUGGUGGAACAAAGUGUCCCAAUCCCUUUUGUAGCAAGGGACAAGCCUGGACAAAGUCUUAUAGGAGGAAAAACGCUCCCGAGGACACACGGGAAUGUAUGUCAUGCUAGUUUCAUCAUGUUCAUAUGAUUCACAUUCGUUACUUUGAUAGUUUGAUAUGUGGGUGGACUGGCGGUUGGGUACUGCCCUUACUUGGACAAGCAUCCCACUUAUGAUUAACCCCUCUCGCAAGCAUCCGCAACUACGAAAGAAGAAUUAAGACAAAGUCUAACCAUAACAUUAAACUAGUGGAUCCAAAUCAGCCCCUUACGAAGCAACACAUAAACUAGGGUUUAAGCUUCUGUCACUCUAGCAACCCAUCAUCUACUUACUACUUCCCAAUGCCUUCCUC
This 434-nucleotide long non-coding RNA is filed under the name Hordeum vulgare. Its description in RNAcentral is "long non-coding RNA (HVUL_LNC004771)". Lineage: Eukaryota; Viridiplantae; Streptophyta; Magnoliopsida; Poales; Poaceae. The record is from RNAcentral.